RNAcentral lists this long non-coding RNA (937 nucleotides) under Populus trichocarpa (black cottonwood). The record is from RNAcentral. Lineage: Eukaryota; Viridiplantae; Streptophyta; Magnoliopsida; Malpighiales; Salicaceae.
UAACACUGUUCUAGUUCAUUUUGCUUUUAUAAUCUCAAGUCUUCAGGGACUUGGUGGCAGUGAUGUCAUUGAUAAUCCCAGCUCUAUGAGACCUUCAAUUUGAAGGUCCAGGAAUAGAUGUUAUCCGUUUCUGCCAGAGCCUAUAGCAAUGCUCUAGUUCAUUUUGCUUUUAUAAUCUCAAGUCUUCAGUUACUUGGUGGCAGUGAUGUCAUUGAUAAUCCCAGCUCUAUGAGACCUUCAAUUUGAAGGUCCAAGAAUAGAUGUUAUCAUUUUCUGUCUGAGCCUAUAACACUGUUCUCGUUCAUUUUGCUUUUAUAAUCUCAAGUCUUCAGGAACAUGUUGGCAGUGAUGUCAUUGAUAAUCCCAGCUCUAUGAGACCUUCAAUUUGAAGGUCCAGGAAUAGAUGUUAUCACUUUCUGUCUGAGCCUAUAACACUGUUAUACUACAUUUUGUUUUAUAAUCUCAAGUCUUCAGAAACUUGUUGGCAGUGAUGUCAUUGAUAAUCCCAGCUCUAUGAGACCUUCAAUUUGAAGGUCCAGGAAUAGAUGUUAUCACUUUCUGUCUGAGCCUAUAACACUGUUAUACUACAUUUUGUUUUAUAAUCUCAAGUCUUCAGAAACUUGUUGGCAGUGAUGUCAUUGAUAAUCCCAGCUCUAUGAGACCUUCAAUUUGAAGGUCCAGGAAUAGAUAUUAUUAGUUUCUGUCUGAGCCUAUAACACUGUUCUAGUUCAUUUUGCUUUUAUAAUCUCAAGUCUUCAGGGACUUGGUGGCAGUGAUGUCAUUGAUAAUCCCAGCUCUAUGAGACCUUCAAUUUGAAGGUCCAGGAAUAGAUGUUAUCAUUCUCUGUCUGAGCCUAUAACACUGUUCUCGUUCAUUUUGCUUUUAUAAUCUCAAGUCUUCAGGAACUUGGUGGCAGUGAUGUCAUUGAUAAUCCCAG